Molecule: long non-coding RNA, 1193 nt
Organism: Ruditapes philippinarum (Manila clam)
Lineage: Eukaryota; Metazoa; Mollusca; Bivalvia; Venerida; Veneridae
Exons: 3
Source: RefSeq, a predicted model, not a curated record
ACAUAUAAAGAAUAGUGUCCUUGAUCGAAUGUUCUAGUUUCUUUUUAACGUAUUUUCGUAGAAUUACAAAAAUAGGUCCUACAGUUAAAAAUAAGUGACAGAAAUGACCCUGAAUAAAUUAUAAUUCACAAUUUUCAUGAUUAAUCUACAAGAUUUUAUGGAUAAAUGUUGUUUUAUGGAUGUAAUACGCUUAAAUGUUUCAGUGAAUAUAAUUAACUUCCGUAAAGAUAGUGUUAUAAGAUAAAAGUACAGUAUUUUCGCAUGACACAUUUAUAAGACAUUUCUUUAUUACUAACUUACUUACAAAGCGGACACUACGGCAUGUGAUUAUUAAAAAAACAUCAUUGUCUUCUUCAAUGCAAUAUCAUUGAAUAAUUAAACUAUAUCGGACAUAUAUUGUUUAUAUUUUCUUCCAGCUGAUUCGUUGUUGCGUUUUAUCCAGAUUGGUCAGAAUUAUCCCUAUAUAUGACACAGAAAAGAAAAGUCGAAAGUAGAUGUAGACGGUUUAACCAAAUGUUUUGAGAUAGAGUAUAUAAGUAAACCAAUUUCUGACUGUCAGCAAAACCUCUUUCAUUAAAAGGCAGGCUGAAUAAAUAAUGCUAGUCGAAGAUGAAAACAUUGACAACUUACCCUUUUGCCGUGAUAGUGAUUAUUUAUGCAGUGCUCAUGAUGCAAAUGAAUUCAAGUGAGGGCGGUAGAAAGAGAAAAAGAUGUCAAUUUAAUAAGGAACAUACUGAAUGUGUUGAUAUAAUACCAAAGAGGGCAAUGAAAUUCAAGAUUUGUCCAAAUUUUGAUAUAGCUACUCGUGGUAGGUGCGCAAAAAUAGGUGGUUACUGUACAAUAAUUCCUAGAGGAGGAAAAAAUCGUUGUAUUUGUGACAAACACAGAUAUUUUCGUGAUCAACCAUGGGGUCCAGUACGCGAUUUUUGAACAAGUUGACGAAGCGUUAAUUCUUCAAAGGUGGUGGAAAUUUAAAUUUAAAGACAUAUCAAUAAGAAAUGUGUAUUUAUUUUUCCACAUACUUAUAAGCAGAACUCAACAUUAUUAUUAUCAUUAUUUUGUUAUUGUUUUUGUGGUUGCUGCUGCUGUUGUUGAUAUUUUUUUACUUUUUAGUUUGCCUUAUUUGUUAGUACUAUGUACGUGCCAAUGGGUUUCUAUUUGAAUCAUGUUAUAAUAAAUUGUUAAUGGAUUUA